Molecule: long non-coding RNA, 965 nt
Organism: Salvelinus sp. IW2-2015
Lineage: Eukaryota; Metazoa; Chordata; Actinopteri; Salmoniformes; Salmonidae
Exons: 2
Source: RefSeq, a predicted model, not a curated record
CCUUUUUCUUCAUCAUAAUGUGUGGCCUCUGAAUAUAAACUAAAACUACCAUUAUACAAGGUAGAAGAUGAAAUAUUUCAAUCACAAGACUUUAUUUAAAUGUUUCACCUAGAUGUUACAAUCACAAACCAAGAGAACAUACCUGUACAUUGACUCAUAAUUCCGUUUUAAGUAGCUGUCUCAGGCAGAGAGAGAGCUUUACUAGGUACUAUGCUUUUGAGAGUGUAUUAAUAUGCAUAUACACUGAUUGUACAAAACAUUAGGAGCACCUUCCUAAUAUUGAGUUAUAUAUAACUCCCUUUUGCCCUCAGAACAGCCKCAAUUCAUCAGAGCAUGGACUCUUCCACAGGGAUACAGGCCCAUGUUGACUUCAAUGCUUCCUAAAGUUGUGUCAAGUUGGCUGGAUGUCCUUUGGGUGGUGGACCAUUCUUUAUACACAUGGGAAACUGUUGAGCGUGAAAAACCCAGCAGUGCUGCAGUUCGUGACACACUUUAACUGAUAUUGAAGCUCAAUCACCUGCGGAGGAGCUGAGGGGAUCUGAGGGCUGCUCGGGGGACUUUGCGAUGCAAAUGUGAGGUAAUUACCUARAGCCAGGAGAGUGAGUGGAAGGCAGCCCAGGCUAAAAUAGAGCAAGAAGGAAAAGCGACGGUGAGAGACGUGAAAGAUUCACAAGCCUGUUGAUGCUGACUGAUUGGAGCACUUGGAAUGAAGGGCAAAAAUGGAGGGGUGUUGUGUAGGAAAGGGAUUCACAGAAGAUAGCUGUGCCCUUGUGUUUUAAGCCCAUUCUUGUGUCUGUGCGUGUCCUCUUUUUCUUCUGCAAAAAAAGAUGAAUGUGUUCCAUGUUUUUCCUGACUCCAGAGAGAUUUGGUUAGUUGUCGUUGUGUGAUUAGCUUAAUGUAUGUCAUGGUUGCCAUGUUCAAGUGUAAUAGGCUGUAUAUGGAGAAUAAAAGCCGUUGACUAUGUG